This is a long non-coding RNA of Dama dama (fallow deer), 1803 nucleotides long. RefSeq lists it as uncharacterized. The record is from RefSeq and is a predicted model, not a curated record. Lineage: Eukaryota; Metazoa; Chordata; Mammalia; Artiodactyla; Cervidae. The transcript is spliced from 4 exons.
GUGAAGUCGCUCAGUCAUGUCCGACUCUUUGCGACUUCAUGGACUGUAGCCUACUAGGAUCCUCAGUCCAUGGAGUUUUCCAGGCAAGAAUACUGGAGUGGGUUGCCAUUUCCUUCUCCAGGGGAUCUUCCCUACCCAGGGAUCAAACCUGGGUCUCCCGCAUUGUAGGCGGACGCUUUACCGUCUGAACUACCAGGGGAGCCCCCAACUGGUCUUAACCAGCUCAAUUACAACUGGAUGCCCAUGACUUCAAGUUGCUGGAAAAGAAUCAGGCGGACAUCUUACUCUCCAGACCGUAAGCUUCUCGGAAGACUUACAUUUGUGGAAUGCCAGACACCAUUCUGGGUUCUCAGGACACAGAAGUGGGAAUAGCAGAGGAAUCGCAACUCCCCAAAUGCAUGCUGUAGAAGUCACAGGUCCAGAAACCCUCCCACGUUCCCAAGAAUGGAAUUGCUGGUGUUGGUUCAUAACCUCAGGACCUUUUGGGGUAAAAUCUGAAGUUGGUCCCACAGAAAGUAAGGAGAGACCCAAGAAAGAGGCGGAUGGUGCCGGAUUGAUAAGUGGCAGUUUUAAGAACCAAAGGACUUUUACGUUGCUUGUCCCGGGGGUGGGAAGAUGAGCAGAUCUCCAUGCCUGGAGCCUUAAAAGUUUAUACAGAUGCCUUAAAGUUCAUUCACUUGCACAUCCAGAAGGUCUCAGCAACCCGUUGCUAUCUCAAGGCUGUGUCCUUGAGGCAGCUUCUAGGUUGGGGAAAGCAAGGAGAUUGUUGGGGAAAGCAAGUGGACAGGGGAAGGGGUGAGGAGCUUCUGAUGCCAGCAUCCAGCUCUGGGGACAAUCAGUGGUCAAUAUCCUCUCCAUGACCCCUUCCAGCAGCUGACCAUGUGGUAGUUCUCUUUAAUUUUUCAAGGAGCUACUAUAUUGCUUCCCACAGUGGCUGUACCAUUUUAUAUUCCCAUGAGCAGUGUGCAAGUGUUUCAGUUUCUCCACAUCCUUGCCAACACUUGUUAUUUUGAAUUUUUUUCCUUAGAAACCAUCCUAAUGAAGUGAUAUUCCACUGCAGUUUUGACUUGCAUAUCCCUAAUGAAGCAUGAUGUUGAACAUCUCUUCAUAUGUUUAUGGGAUAUUUGUGUAUCUUCUUUAGAGAAAUGUCUACUCAAGUCCUUUUAAAUCAGGUUGUUUGUUUCUUGUUGUUGUAGCUUUUUAUAUAUUCUGGAUAUUAAUCCCUUAUCAUAUAUAUAAUUUAUAAAUAUUUUCCCCCAAUUCCAUGAGCUGCCUUUUCACUUUGUUGGUAGGGCCCCUUUAUGCACAAACCAUUUUUAAUUUUGAUGAAGUCCCACUUGUCCAUUUUUUCCUUUCAUUGGCUCUGUUUUUGGGUCAUGGUCAACAAAUCAUUGCCUAAUCAGUGUCAUGAAACUUUUCCUCUAUGAUGGUUUUUAGAAAGCUUUUUAAUAGUUUUGGCUCUUAAAUUUGCAUAAUUUGGUAUGUUUGUGUCUUGGAUGUAAAAAAUUUCACUAAGGCUGUUUCUUAAAGAACAGGAAUGUGAUAUUUUAUUCAAUAAAUAAUUGAUUAAAACAUUUCAUUUAAAUAUGACAAAUAAUCAAGGGAGCAAAAAAAGAGAAAGGUUAAGAGGGUAAAAAGUGUGAGACAGUGAGGGAGGAAGACAGAGCAGAAGAAGGUGGAGAAGGGAAAACAGGGAAAAGAAACCUCAGAUAGUUGAAGAAGCAAAGAUCUGUUUUAUUAAUCCUAUUCUUUGAAAAUAUACCUCCUGCCAGCAUUUGUUAUAAUAGAAUAUAUAUUUUAUUG